UGGGGAAUAUUGCACAAUGGGCGCAAGCCUGAUGCAGCCAUGCCGCGUGUGUGAAGAAGGCCUUCGGGUUGUAAAGCACUUUCAGCGAGGAGGAAGGUGGUGAACUUAAUACGUUCAUCAAUUGACGUUACUCGCAGAAGAAGCACCGGCUAACUCCGUGCCAGCAGCCGCGGUAAUACGGAGGGUGCAAGCGUUAAUCGGAAUUACUGGGCGUAAAGCGCACGCAGGCGGUUUGUUAAGUCAGAUGUGAAAUCCCCGGGCUCAACCUGGGAACUGCAUUUGAAACUGGCAAGCUAGAGUCUCGUAGAGGGGGGUAGAAUUCCAGGUGUAGCGGUGAAAUGCGUAGAGAUCUGGAGGAAUACCGGUGGCGAAGGCGGCCCCCUGGACGAAGACUGACGCUCAGGUGCGAAAAGCGUGGGGAGCAAAACAGGAUUAGAUACCCUGGUAGUCCACGCUGUAAAACGAUGUCGAUUUUGGAGGUUGUGCCCUUGAGGCGUGGCUUCCGGAGCUAACGCGUUAAAUCGACCGCCUGGGGAGUACGGCCGCAAGGUUAAAACUCAAAUGAAUUGACGGGGUCAUAGCUG
RNAcentral lists this ribosomal RNA (584 nucleotides) under uncultured bacterium. Its description in RNAcentral is "partial 16S ribosomal RNA". It matches the Rfam family "Bacterial small subunit ribosomal RNA", at positions 355 to 932 of the family's 1533-position model. The record is from RNAcentral.